This 468-nucleotide ribosomal RNA is filed under the name uncultured bacterium. Its description in RNAcentral is "partial 16S ribosomal RNA". It matches the Rfam family "Bacterial small subunit ribosomal RNA", at positions 28 to 507 of the family's 1533-position model. The record is from RNAcentral.
GACGAACGCUGGCGGCGUGCUUAACACAUGCAAGUCGAACGGAAAGGCCCUGCUUUUGUGGGGUGCUCGAGUGGCGAACGGGUGAGUAACACGUGAGUAACCUGCCCUUGACUUUGGGAUAACUUCAGGAAACUGGGGCUAAUACCGGAUAGGAGCUCCUGCUGCAUGGUGGGGGUUGGAAAGUUUCGGCGGUUGGGGAUGGACUCGCGGCUUAUCAGCUUGUUGGUGGGGUAGUGGAUUACCAAGGCUUUGACGGGUAGCCGGCCUGAGAGGGUGACCGGCCACAUUGGGACUGAGAUGCGGCCCAGACUCCUACGGGAGGCAGCAGUGGGGAAUAUUGCACAAUGGGCGGAAGCCUGAUGCAGCAACGCCGCGUGCGGGGUGACGGCCUUCGGGUUGUAUACCGCUUUCGCCUGUGACGAAGCGUGAGUGACGGUAAUGGGUAAAGAAGCUCCGGCUAACUACGUG